GAUUUUCUAAUUUGGAUGUCCAUUUUGUGCUCAUUUGUUGGUCAUUGCAUUACAUGGAUCAUUUGAUGCCUUUGCUUUUUGAAUUGAUACUGGUCCUUUUGAGGACAUUUUGUGAUAUGUUUGAACUUUCUUUAUGCAAAAGAUUGACUUCUGUUUUGAUCAUUUGGUUUGGUUUUGGACCUAGUCUUUGUACUAGUGUUUUG
This 203-nucleotide long non-coding RNA is filed under the name Lathyrus oleraceus (garden pea). RNAcentral's name for it is "Pisum sativum (pea) long non-coding RNA (PSAT_LNC028856)". The record is from RNAcentral. Lineage: Eukaryota; Viridiplantae; Streptophyta; Magnoliopsida; Fabales; Fabaceae.